AACGGCGAGUGAAGCGGCAACAGCUCAAAUUUGAAAUCUGGCGUCUUCGGCGUCCGAGUUGUAAUUUGCAGAGGGCGCUUUGGCAUUGGCAGCGGUCCAAGUUCCUUGGAACAGGACGUCACAGAGGGUGAGAAUCCCGUACGUGGUCGCUAGCCUUUACCGUGUAAAGCCCCUUCGACGAGUCGAGUUGUUUGGGAAUGCAGCUCUAAAUGGGAGGUAAAUUUCUUCUAAAGCUAAAUACUGGCCAGAGACCGAUAGCGCACAAGUAGAGUGAUCGAAAGAUGAAAAGCACUUUGGAAAGAGAGUUAAAAAGCACGUGAAAUUGUUGAAAGGGAAGCGCUUGCAGCCAGACUUGCCUGUAGUUGCUCAUCCGGGUUUCUACCCGGUGCACUCUUCUAUAGGCAGGCCAGCAUCAGUUUGGGCGGUUGGAUAAAGGUCUCUGUCAUGUACCUCUCUUCGGGGAGAACUUAUAGGGGAGACGACAUGCAACCAGCCUGGACUGAGGUCCGCGCAUCUGCUAGGAUGCUGGCGUAAUGGCUGUAAGCGGCCCGUCUUGAAACACGGACCAAGGAGUCUAACAUCUAUGCGAGUGUUUGGGUGUCAAGCCCGAGCGCGUAAUGAAAGUGAACGGAGGUGGGAACCUUUCGGGGUGCACCAUCGACCGAUCCUGAUGUCUUCGGAUGGAUUUGAGUAAGAGCAUAGCUGUUGGGACCCGAAAGAUGGUGAACUAUGCUUGAAUAGGGUGAAGCCAGAGGAAACUCUGGUGGAGGCUCGCAGCGGUUCUGACGUGCAAAUCGAUCGUCAAAUUUGGGC
RNAcentral lists this ribosomal RNA (813 nucleotides) under Didymella sp. Its description in RNAcentral is "partial large subunit ribosomal RNA". It matches the Rfam family "Eukaryotic large subunit ribosomal RNA", at positions 85 to 916 of the family's 3401-position model. The record is from RNAcentral. Lineage: Eukaryota; Fungi; Ascomycota; Dothideomycetes; Pleosporales; Didymellaceae.